Molecule: non-coding RNA, 1297 nt
Organism: Paramuricea clavata
Lineage: Eukaryota; Metazoa; Cnidaria; Anthozoa; Malacalcyonacea; Plexauridae
Source: the annotation of a GenBank genome assembly
UGGAGUUAUUGGAAUUCUUUGCGACCAACUUAAUCACAGAUUCUGUAUUACCAAUACUUCCAUCCGUGAGAACAAAUACUUGUCUCGGCAAGCCUUUCAUGGGUGCAUGGCUGAAGAUGUCCUUGAGAGGGUCAAAAAGUUCUGUGCCACCAAGGUCUGCUUGCAGGUUUUUUGCGUGUUUUACUGCAAUCUCCAAAUUUUUCUGAUUGUAGGCCACACUCUCGGGAAACAGAUGUUCAUAACUGCUUCCAAAACCAAUCACAUUGAAAUAACAACCUUCAGGGAUACUUUUUAGGAAUAGCAAGAGUGUUUGGGAUGCAUCUUGGAUGUAAGAACCAGCCAUGCUUCCACUGCGAUCAAUAACAAACACAAAUUCACAUGCAGCUUGGAGACAUGAGGUGUCACCUUUGAAUUCUGGGAAGAAGCUGACCAUGACGACCGUGUUUUUCUGGAAAUCGUUUUCACCAUUUGACAAACCAGGUUCAACGAUUACCAAAGGUUUAUGAGCUUCCUUUGGUUGAACCAGAAUGACUAUAUCUGUUUGUUUAUCUUCAGCCAAUGAAACGUUAAUAUUCUGACCAGUAUUUUCAACAUGAAUUUCGUGGGAUGGCGAUGUCACAUUUGCAAUACCAGGAGCUCCAUUGAUCACCAUGUCAAAUUUAUAUUCUGGGGGUCCUGUAGCAUGGUGAACUGGGCCACUUCCUGAAGUGGGAUUUUCUGGUGCUAGGGGAUCUGUACUUCCAGGAGGUGUGUACCGGGGUUUUAGUACCGUUGGUAGAACAAACCGUACUGCUCCAUCAGGUUCAACAGCCAGCUCGCCGACCAUCGUGAGUUGUAUCACAGCUUUCUCGCCCGGGGGGAGAUUACCCAGAACUAAACUAAAUAUGUCACCCUUUUUUUCUUCCCCAAAAGCGGCUGUACGCCCUCUUGAUAUAGCUUCCUGGUACAUCUCCCUCGCUUUUUCCUUUUCCUGGAUCUCUGCUCGGAUCUUUCUGCCAUCGAUGCAGGCUUCUAAACCAACGACGGCGUAAGAAUCGUCGACGGGCGUACGGAAAAAUACUUCGAGUGGAUUAGAGGUGUUGUUGUCAUAGGUCAACGUCGAGCGAAAUCCUACUACAUAGCCCUGUAGAAAUGCUCGUACGGAAAGACUUUUUAAUGGAAUUGCUUCGUUUUGACCACAAAUAAACAAACCUUCCAACAACAUUUUGCCACAAACUUCUAGAGAAGAUUAAAAGCCAGAAAUUUCGCUUUACUCGUCUUUAAAUUUUAAUUACUGACACUCGGAAGACGUACAAAU